AUUGAACGCUGGCGGCAGGCCUAACACAUGCAAGUCGAACGAGUGGCGGACGGGUGAGUAAUGUCUGGGCAACUGCCCGAUGGAGGGAGAUAACUACUGGAAACGGUAGCUAAUACCGCAUACCAUCGGAUGUGCCCAGAUGGGAUUAGCUAGUAGGUGGGGUAACGGCGCACCUAGUCGACGAUCCCUAGCUGGUCUGAGCGGAUGACCAGCCACACUGGAACUGAGACACGGGCCAGACUCCGACGGGAGGCAGCAGUGGGGAAUAUUGCGCAAUGGGCGAAAGACUGAUGCAGCCAUGCCGCGUGUAUGAAGAAGGCCUUAGGGUUGUAAAGUACUUUCAGAGAAGAGGCGUUACUCGCAGAAGAAGCACCGGCUAACUCCGUGCCAGCAGCCGCGGUAAUUC
RNAcentral lists this ribosomal RNA (406 nucleotides) under uncultured bacterium. RNAcentral's name for it is "partial 16S ribosomal RNA". It matches the Rfam family "Bacterial small subunit ribosomal RNA", at positions 30 to 526 of the family's 1533-position model. The record is from RNAcentral.